ACGCUCGACACCUACGGGAGGUAGCAGUCGGGAAUAUUGCGCAAUGGAGGAAACUCUGACGCAGUGACGCCGCGUGCAGGAAGAAGGUUUUCGGAUUGUAAACUGCUUUAGACAGGGAAGAAAGAAAUGACAGUACCUGUAGAAUAAGCUCCGGCUAACUACGUGCUAGCAGCCGCGGUAAUCUGAGCGGGCUGGCAAGGC
RNAcentral lists this ribosomal RNA (201 nucleotides) under uncultured bacterium. RNAcentral describes it as "partial 16S ribosomal RNA". It matches the Rfam family "Bacterial small subunit ribosomal RNA", at positions 328 to 539 of the family's 1533-position model. The record is from RNAcentral.